CGCCGCUGCCCAGACUGCUACACUUCACCCCGCCUCCCAGAAUGGAUUUAUCAUGUUACUGAGUGAGCCGUGUAUCAAGUGAAAGUGCACGCAUAAUGGACAUCUCCGGGCCGUAACUUCACCUUGAUCGGGGACAUAGGCGAGUGACUGAGGUGAUCACCCGUCAUGUUACCGUGGUGCUGUGGGAAAUGUCCUCCCCAGUGUGGGUGUCCUGGCCUCCAUGGAUAGAGAACACAAACCAUCAGCCUGGAGAAAUCUGAAACGUAAAAGCUUCGCGUGUCUGUUGCACUGCAUUGCCCACUAGACAACUGCUGCCGUCACAGUGGAAAGUCUGUAUCAGGAGUACAACAAAUGUUGGCAGAGUCUGCAGCGACCUUUACAAGACACACCUGGCGAUGCACUUCAUCCUGAUGCACGUCACUGCUGGAUACGAGGUGUCGUGUUGCCUCACUGCCUGACAAGCCUCUCCGAUAAGUUGGUUUCUUUUCUUUGUCUUCUUUUUUAAAGUCUCUUUCUUCCAUGAAACGUGAGGAAUUUCAAAACUUCAUUAAAAAUAUUCGCGCAUAAUACUUUGGCGAAAUGUUCUUAUAAUACUUAUAUUCAAUUUUCGUUUCUAGACUCUUUCUCUAUCAUUUAUAAACAUGUAAUACAUUUAUUCAUAUAUAAUGGACGUUUUUUACGCGACGACUUUUUUUCCUUGUCUACUCUCACUUUAUAUUCACAAUCCGAUCAGCAGUUAAACUGUUUGACCCAUCAUCUUUCUCGAGCGUACUGCUAACAGUUCGGUUUUAGUGUUGUCUAUCGACUUAAUGAAUGAAUCUGUAAACUGCCUGUAACAGCUGCGGUGAACACCAAACGUGAUCUGAAUACUCAACAGUCUCGUGUUACUGCGCUUCUGACUCCUUAAAUAAGUCGCGGCCGUGUAAAAAUCUCAUAAAUCCAAUUAAUGUAUUUUACCGUUUAGUUUCUUAUUUUCUAUUUGAUAUGUUUCAUUAGGUUAAAAGGUGUUGGAAGUAUUUGAUUUAUUUCCAAGAACAACAUUCAAGCAAACCUGUAGCACUCUGCCACAUACUGUAUGGCCUUAGUUUCCUUUUGAUUUCUAGGACUUCUAUGUAUUGACCGAAAUGAGCCAUAAACAUUCGCUGUAAGUCACAGCGCGUGCGACAUCACGCAGGAUAAAUAAUGCAGAUGUAUCUCGCCCUUGUGCACAGUCCUUUCUUUCACGUGUUUGUAAUUCCUCCCAAACCCAGCAGUCCAAACACUGCGGUGCCCACUGAGUCCUCAGUCCAAUAACACACUUGUAAUGGAUAAUGGGAAACCUUCAACAGCAAGACGUACUUCUCAAAAACGUGACGCUUGGUGAUACCCGCUUAGGUUGAAAUUCCAGGAAACUCAGCAUUCUCUCUCUCUCUCUCUCUCUCUCUCUCUCUCUCUCUCUCUCUCUCUCUCUCUCUCUCUCUCUCUCUCUCU
This 1470-nucleotide long non-coding RNA is filed under the name Portunus trituberculatus (swimming crab). Its description in RNAcentral is "uncharacterized LOC123500028, transcript variant X3". Lineage: Eukaryota; Metazoa; Arthropoda; Malacostraca; Decapoda; Portunidae. The record is from RNAcentral.